GUUAUUGGCUGAUAUGCGUUCACUGAACGCCGUCUUUCUUCUUGGAGAUACUGCUUUGAAUAGCUUGAGGUUCUCAUGGUUCUGGAUCUCCUAACUUUGUUUUGUGGACAUCUAUAUAUUCAUUUUCCAAAUGGGUCAUCCAUGCUUGUGUCUCACUUUGGUGGCCAUACUCUUUUCUUGACUUGUCAUCCCCUUAUGCUCCACUAUGGUAAGUUAUUGCUUUUAUGAAAUUUAUCUUUAAUUUUAAUGGAUUUUUACAGCAUAAUUUCGUAGGA
Molecule: long non-coding RNA, 275 nt
Organism: Magnolia sinica
Lineage: Eukaryota; Viridiplantae; Streptophyta; Magnoliopsida; Magnoliales; Magnoliaceae
Exons: 3
Source: RefSeq, a predicted model, not a curated record